GACAGCGGAAAUAUCAUAAAAUAAAGAUUUGGAUUUAUUAUCAAAUAAAUAAAUUUUUAAAUAAAAUAUUUUAGAAAACACUUCAAAGGGAGACAAACCCUAAAAAAAAAUUAAACUUUUAAAUAAUGUACUCAAAGGCUAACUUUGAUUUAAAAAUCGACAAUCAACCUCUUAUUUCAAAGCAUGACAUAAAGAUGUCAUCAAAAUAUCCAGGUAUUAGGUAAAACUUGUGCUAAGCAAAACUUUAAAUACUUAAAUUAGUUGAAAAUCAAAUCAACUACUUGAUAAAUGUCUUGAAUCUCGAUGCGCCCAUUCGACCUUCCACGCGUCUCCAACGUCAAAAUACCUGAAAUGUUUAAUAUGGGAUGAGCAUACAGAAUAUACUCAGUGUGGGGACAUGCAAUUAUUGUCCACGUUAAUAAAAUGAGAAUCACAUAUGAUCAAUACAUUCGUAACUGAAAGUCGCACUGUGGCAUACCAAGGACCUUUCCGUCCUGGACCGAUUGAGCAGGCCCCUGGCGAAUGGUUGCAACCCUAACUGUAACAUGAAAUCGCAUUGUGGCAUACCAAGGACGGUGAAGUCCUGGACCCAUUGAGCGGGCCCCUAGCGAUAUAACUGAAUUUACAACACAUAUGGCAAACACAUAAUAUUAAAAUGGACAACAAUUAACCACGGCAUGUACUGAAAUAAAUCCCACACCUGAAACUUUGAACUUGAACUUGA
RNAcentral lists this long non-coding RNA (724 nucleotides) under Salvia miltiorrhiza (redroot sage). Its description in RNAcentral is "long non-coding RNA (SMIL_LNC005689)". Lineage: Eukaryota; Viridiplantae; Streptophyta; Magnoliopsida; Lamiales; Lamiaceae. The record is from RNAcentral.